Molecule: ribosomal RNA, 506 nt
Filed under: uncultured bacterium
Lineage: Bacteria
Description: partial 16S ribosomal RNA
Rfam family: Bacterial small subunit ribosomal RNA
Source: RNAcentral
AUUGAACGCUGGCGGCAUGCUUUACACAUGCAAGUCGAACGGCAGCGGGGAGGUGCUUGCACCUCUGCCGGCGAGUGGCGAACGGGUGAGUAAUGUAUCGGAACGUGCCCAGUAGUGGGGGAUAACUACUCGAAAGAGUAGCUAAUACCGCAUGAGAUCUCUGGAUGCAAGCGGGGGACCGUAAGGCCUCGCGCUACUGGAGCGGACGCUAUCAGAUUAGGUAGUUGGUGGGGUAAAGGCCUACCAAGCCUGCGAUCUGUAGUGGGUCUGAGAGGACGACCAGCCACACUGGGACUGAGACACGGCCCAGACUCCUACGGGAGGCAGGAGUGGGGAAUUUUGGACAAUGGGCGCAAGCCUGAUCCAGCAAUGCCGCGUGCAGGAUGAAGGCCUUCGGGUUGUAAACUGCUUUUGUACAGAACGAAAAGCUCUUCUCUAAUACAGAGGGGUCAUGACGGUACUGUAAGAAUAAGCACCGGCUAACUACGUGCCAGCAGCCGCAGUAA